RNAcentral lists this ribosomal RNA (253 nucleotides) under uncultured bacterium. RNAcentral describes it as "partial 16S ribosomal RNA". It matches the Rfam family "Bacterial small subunit ribosomal RNA", at positions 524 to 776 of the family's 1533-position model. The record is from RNAcentral.
UACAGAGGGGGCAAGCGUUAUUCGGAAUUAUUGGGCGUAAAGAGCUCGUAGGCGGUUUGUCGCGUCUGCUGUGAAAACCUAAGGCUCAACCUUGGGCUUGCAGUGGGUACGGGCAGACUAGAGUGCGGUAGGGGUGACUGGAAUUCCUGGUGUAGCGGUGGAAUGCGCAGAUAUCAGGAGGAACACCGAUGGCGAAGGCAGGUCACUGGGCCGCAACUGACGCUGAGGAGCGAAAGCAUGGGGAGCGAACAGG